GGCACUAUAGCUCAGUAGUAGAGCACUUGCCUAACAUGCACGAGACCAGGGGUUCAAUCCCUAGUACUG
This 69-nucleotide transfer RNA is filed under the name Ictidomys tridecemlineatus (thirteen-lined ground squirrel). RNAcentral describes it as "Spermophilus tridecemlineatus (thirteen-lined ground squirrel) tRNA". It matches the Rfam family "tRNA". From Rfam's summary of the family: Transfer RNA (tRNA) molecules are approximately 80 nucleotides in length. Their secondary structure includes four short double-helical elements and three loops (D, anti-codon, and T loops). The record is from Rfam by way of RNAcentral. Lineage: Eukaryota; Metazoa; Chordata; Mammalia; Rodentia; Sciuridae.